Raphanus sativus (radish) is the source of this 2152-nucleotide long non-coding RNA. RefSeq lists it as uncharacterized. Lineage: Eukaryota; Viridiplantae; Streptophyta; Magnoliopsida; Brassicales; Brassicaceae. The transcript is spliced from 6 exons. The record is from RefSeq and is a predicted model, not a curated record.
UUAUUAAUCCACUCAGAUCGUUCCCCACGAAGUGUAUUCAAAGCAAUCUUAAAGCUAGAGUCUUUUUCUUCUUUUAUCUCUGCAAGGGCGGUGUAUAUAUUCCUCUGAAAUGGCUAAGUCAUCAAUCAUUUUUCAGUAUAGAAGUCAGUCGUAUGUUUUUCAACCGUGGUGGUGAGAUUGCCAGAAACAUCAAACGCGGUGGAAAGAUUUUCCGUUACUGGCUGAUCCGGAAAUCAAGUGAUUGAAUCACGAGCAGGGAAAUAUGGGUUUUGGGUUUGUUCUUCGACUCGACGAAGGAUGAUGAACAAGAUCUAUAUACUCGCGGAUAUGGUGGUUACUGGUUACUUACUACUUAGUCUCGGACCCGAUAUGCUUCUUUUUUAAAGAUCACUUUUGCCUGACUUUUAUUUGUUUAUGUCCUCAACUUCUCCAUCUUUAAUGUUGUGUUUCAUGGACUCUUCAGUCUCUUCGUUAAAUAGCUAAGUGCUGGUCUUCUCUUUACAUCUUUUUGCUUUUAGGAAGUGAAUAGAUAAAUCACUUGAUGAAUGGUUCAUAAAGGUAUUGUUUUUGUUAUUGCAGUUGCUUUGUCGAUGACAAAGAAGAAAAGAAGGGAGAGGGAGCAGAAGGAGAGUAUUGUUAAUGGUAUCAGAGACUGUCGAUAAAUAUAACUCUGUCCAUGUUUCUCAUUUGAAAACAUGAAAAAUAUCAAAUUCAAGGAGUUAAGACAACAGUUUAGACACAAUGGUGAGGAACAAGGUUAAACUCUGUAUUCAAAACUACAUGAGCUUGGAAGCAACCGCUAAGUACCUUGAGAAGAAUCACCGGAUUAGUAAAAGUGUCACCCGCAUAGUUUUGGGGCAGCUUCGAGAAAAGAACCCAGAUUUCUUCAACCACUUCGAAUUGAGAUGCUAGAUGGCUUUUCGGAUGAGGAUGUUCAAUGAUAUGCUGACUAAGCAAGCUGUUGGGAUGUUCGAACAUGGACUUAUUGAUAUCUGUGAUGCAUCAAUUACGUAUGGGCACAGAACAAGCACCACAUUCUUUACAAUUGGAUCACUAUUUACAAAAGAUUUGGCUAUGCUUUCUGUUUGUGCUGCUUCUGUUAGGACUCUUCUUCGUCGACAAUACCCUGGAAGAGUUCAUCUUCUAGAGACAUUAGAUAAAGAAACAACAUGUAAAAGCUCUCUCUAAUCAUGAUAGUCACUAAAUUUAAAAUAUCUUUGCAUUGUGUAGCUUCCAAGAGAAAGCGGAGUUCUGCAAGCUUAGUAGCAUUGCCAUAUGCAAAUGGUCCAUGAGGUACAACCUGAUGUUGAUCAUGUUAAAGUCAGAUGGAUCCCAACCAAUUAUAAGUUCGCAAUAACGGUUAGCAUUAUUGAUCAAGACCUUGCUCAGAAAAAAAAAUGUGUACCAAAAUCAAGGUGUUUCCUUUCCGGAUUUGUGCUGAACUGAACAUGAAGCUAUGCAGAGAAAGCUUGAAGCCUGGCAGAAUGAGGAGAAGUUGCACAAUCUGCGGAAUUAACAGUCAAAAGGACAGUUUCAGAGACCAUACAGCUUAUGCACUCAAGAAGGCACGCAAGAAAAGCAACCUUUGGUUCAGUUUUCCAUGUUGACCAAGGAAGAAGGGAUAUUCUUAAUAUCUCAGACGUUAAUUCUGCUCAAGUCCACCUUUAAUUCGAACCGGCUUCCAACCUUCAGGCUUCACAAAACAGAUAAUAAAUUAAGAUGUUCUUAAUAUCUCAGACGUUAUUGGUGAGCUCACUGCUGUGAGAAGUGAUGAUGUUGAUCAAUAGAGACCAUAAGAGGCGUUGUUGCGGGAGGAAGUGAGGGCUUUUUCAGAGAUGGAGGAUGAUGACUUGAAGGCAGCGAUUGAAGCGAGCUGAGUUUGCUAGAUGCUUCUGCGACUGGUGUUAAUCUUGGAGCUGUUUGGACUUCUCAAAAGAAAACUGAGAAACAAAAGUGGCAGAGCAAAUAGAGAACGAAGCAGCUUUUAAUUGAUGUGUGUGAAGGAACAUUCAAUUGUUUUUUUUUGUUUUUGUAUUUGAUAAUUACUUACAGAACAUAGAAGCUUAUAUCGACAGAAACCAAAGGGUUUGUGAUAUGGUGUUUUGUGUUUGAGUUCUUUAUUGAUAAAUCAAACCAUCUCUACUUCUGGCUA